UUUCGUUCAACAGCGAUUUUGCUGGAACUGAUUAUCAUCGUCAAGCGAGGCACCACUGUAUAGAGAUACACAAACAUUGGAGUGGUAGGAAGAGACAAAGGAAAUAGUUGUAUAAUCCUGGGAGAAAGCAGGAGAAAAAUCAAUAUAGCUGUUAGAAGGAGCAAAGAUUUAAGAAUUAGCAAUGGAUGCAAUUUUUUUAUUUCCCACAGUAGCAGCUGAAUCAGUAGACAAGUCCAUAUAGGAUUAAUGGCUCCUGAACAAAGUUAGCAACUUGCACCACCCCAUAGUGGGGUUGGAAUCCAAGAGGAGAAAGCAGUUAUCAUUCUCUGCUUAUGAUAUUUGAAAGCAGGCUGGCUGCUGUUGGGAUGAAAAUGUUGUUAUGGAUGUUUGUGGGUCUGAUUCAGUGGCUGCUCUUGUGCUUUAGUUCAAGCUCAAACAUCAGUUCACAGUAAGCCUGAAAUGAUCUGUUACAGAGUUUGUAAAGUUCAGUAUUUGGAUAUGUGCUUGUAUGUGGGGACUCCAGAGGCCCAUCGUCUGCCAAAGACGGAGGACAGGAUGGAUUUAGAGAAUAACAAUAUUUAGAAAAGCAGUCUGUUAAAAGGAACAUUUCCAGCUUGGAUAUUAGUGGUCUUUAGCCCUUUUUCAGCUCUUCCAGAUUCUCAGAUAUUUCAAAAUGCUGUACCUAGAAAUCUCUAGUUGGUUACACUUCCAUUUGAAGAGAAGGAAAGGACUCCAUGAGAAGCUGUAUUCUGCUAACCAGCAUUUACAUUGCUCCACAAUAAAAGUAUGCAAAUUUGAAAAAUAAAGACAAAUAGUUAUAUUCAGUCAUGGCAUGUGGUUUCUGAAAUUGGAAAGUAUUGUGAUGUCAUAACCACAAUGGUAUUGGUUAAGGACUAACUAAAAAAAUACAAGUGCUUGUUUAGAAAUGUGUACACAAUGUGUAUCUCAAACAUUCUCAAAUCAGCUUAUAAAAGCUGGAUACAAACAACUAAGAAAGCUGAAACAAACGUAUUCAAAUGGUAAAGGCUAACAAAGCAGCUGCUGGAAUGAUAUACAUGAACUGUAGAUGAAAUCUCAACAAAUUAAGUGUUUGAAUACCCAAGAAGGGAUAAAACAUCCCAAGGUGAGUACUUCAAAGGUCAUCCUUUCACCAGAAAGAUUUUUCUCAGUUACUACUUAACCUGCCUUUGAUUAAAGAGACACCCAAAGAAGGGCUUCUUAGGAUACCUUUAAAUAGCAAGUAAGCUCAUGUAGAAGCAAACUAUUCUUAUGACUGAGUGUCAAAGCUGUACGGAGAGCUCAAGCAGGGAUUAGAAGCUUCUAAGGCUUCUAUGGUGAACAUUUUUACAAUUCAGUGAACUCCUUGGUGUGUUCAGAAUGGCAUAUCACACUUCCGGAAGCCUCUUGGAAUAUGAUUUGCUAUUUAAGGUCUGUUGUUUGAUCAGAAGUAUGAAAUUAAUCUGCAGAACCAGCAUUGCUGCAAAGUCAUUUUGCCUUAGCCACUAAAAGUCAGAUAACCUAGUAUUUCAAAUUCUUCUCUGCAGUGUUGCUUAAAUGCACUUCUGGUGUGAUCCAGCUAGGGUCUCUUUAUGUUCUUAGUAUUAUUAGCCAGUAUAGGUCCUUUUUCUCCACAGAUCAAUUAUAAAUGGAGGCAUCAACAGCAUUUGAAACAAUCCAGAGCCUUGUAUCAAGUAACACCCGUGAAGAUAACAGGGAGUAAGUGAUUUUGCACUUCUGCACCGGCAGGUUUAGAUUGGGUCGGGUAUCUUUGACUUCAGAAAACAAUGUUGUUUGGGUGGCUUAAACACUGGAAGCAUGGGCAGAAUACAUGCUGUCUGAACAUUUUGUUCUGUGGAAGUUUUAAAAGGAAUUCACAAGCUUAAAGUUUAGCAGGUUGCCUGGACUUGGAAUAAGGCAUCAAGCAGUUCAAUAUUUGUUUCAUAUAGAUGGAAACCACUUUUUAAAACAGAGACAGACAACCAUCAUAAAUAUUUGUUUUAGAGAUGGGCAUGAGUGCAGCUUCCCUAGACAACCUGGGACCAAAAUGACAGCACUUAGAAAAAGUUCCUUUCUUCCCUGUGGAAAUAUCAUUUUUUUUCUUGGGGUUGUUUGCUCUUGACAAUAGUAGAUUUUUUAAAUGAAAGCAGAAUUCAACUUUCGUCAGCAGUUAACAUGCAGUGAAAGAAGUUACCAGGUGCUGCUCAUGUAAAUGUCUUUCAGCCUAAGACAAGUCACAGACCAGCAUUUGCAGCAGUGUCAUAAGAGGAACCCAGAAAGAUCCCCUUGGGGGUAUUAUGCUGCUGUGAUGCAAGCUGCUUCUGUGAUUCCGAAAUAAUGGGAACACCAAAACGAUGACAUCACCCAGGCCUGGAAAGACAAAGUGGUGAGUUAGCCUAAUGGGUUGACUUACUUGGAGGGCAUGACAAUCCUCCUAUUUUGGCACUGUGUGUGUUGGUGAGACCCAGAGGAUCAGGGAAAAGUCUGCAUAAAUGGCCCAGAUUGCUAGCUAUAAGGACAGGGCAGGUGAUUGGGGGGGGGAGACUCGUGAGGCAUGAACCCUCUGCUACUGCCCAGAACCACCUGACCUUGAUAGUGAGACUUGGAGUAGGUAACUUGUUUGCUUCCAGAUGCUGGACUUUAGCCUCUAUCAGCCCUCGCUGGCAGAGCCAAAGGUGAGGGGUAGUGGGAUUUGCAGUCUAUGACUUUGAGAUGGCCAGAGUUUGCCUGCCCUGCUCAGCAUUAUAUGGGAGGAUACUUUCCAUGUAGAAAAUGUGCCUCCUUUGCUUUGGGUGCACCUCUUUUUUCCUCCCUCACUGGGACUAUCAGGCAAGCUCCUUACGUUGCUAGUAAUAUUAGAUAAUGUCACAUCUCCCAGUUUGGUUGUCUAUUCAUUCACUGGUGUGUUUAGCAAAAUGUUGUGGGUAUAAUACCUGUGGUGAAGAACUGACUUAAAUUCAUAAACUUUGUUCUUAUCUGCUUGUCUUGUAAGUGGCUGUUUCCCUUUAAUAAACACUUUUCCAAA
Pogona vitticeps (central bearded dragon) is the source of this 3022-nucleotide non-coding RNA. The record is from RefSeq and is a predicted model, not a curated record. NCBI's taxonomy places the organism in Eukaryota, Metazoa, Chordata, Lepidosauria, Squamata, Agamidae.